Molecule: ribosomal RNA, 253 nt
Filed under: uncultured bacterium
Lineage: Bacteria
Description: partial 16S ribosomal RNA
Rfam family: Bacterial small subunit ribosomal RNA
Source: RNAcentral
UACAGAGGUCCCGAGCGUUGUUCGGAUUCACUGGGCGUAAAGGGUGCGUAGGUGGCCAUGAAAGUUCGAUGUGAAAUCUCCGGGCUCAACCCGGAAAAGGCAUUGAAAACUCUGUGGCUGGAGGUUUGGAGGGGGGACUGGAAUUCUCGGUGUAGCAGUGAAAUGCGUAGAUAUCGAGAGGAACACCAGUGGCGAAGGCGGGUCCCUGGACAACACCUGACACUGAGGCACGAAAGCUAGGGGAGCAAACAGG